This 253-nucleotide ribosomal RNA is filed under the name uncultured prokaryote. RNAcentral's name for it is "partial 16S ribosomal RNA". It matches the Rfam family "Bacterial small subunit ribosomal RNA", at positions 525 to 777 of the family's 1533-position model. The record is from RNAcentral.
ACGUAGGGUGCGAGCGUUAAUCGGAAUUACUGGGCGUAAAGCGUGCGCAGGCGGUUCGUUGUGUCGGCGGUGAAAGUCCGGGGCUCAACUCCGGAUCUGCGGUGGGUACGGGCAGACUAGAGUGAUGUAGGGGAGACUGGAAUUCCUGGUGUAGCGGUGAAAUGCGCAGAUAUCAGGAGGAACACCGAUGGCGAAGGCAGGUCUCUGGGCAUUAACUGACGCUGAGGAGCGAAAGCAUGGGGAGCGAACAGGA